AUAGUAAAACUCAAAGAGGAGGUCAACUCAUUACGUACUGAAACGAGGCAAUUCAUGUAAGAAAUUUGAAUGCAGCAUCCACCUCAAGGAAGCUCACAAAUGGGUGACAAUGAAACUUCUUCCGAAAGAUGAUGUCAUAGAAGAAAGAGAAUAUCGUUUUGAAGAUAACCCAUGUUUGUGCAAAUUAUUUUGAAGUGCAUCUUGGUAUGGAAGUCUACUGUUUUGGGAUGUUGUUUAAAAUUACGAUAUUGUAGAUUACCAUAUAUGAAUGAUGAAUGUUCUACUCUUUUUGGGAUUAUUAGGUUUUACCAUAUAUUAAUGAUGAUUUUUUGCUGUU
Molecule: long non-coding RNA, 337 nt
Organism: Dendrobium catenatum
Lineage: Eukaryota; Viridiplantae; Streptophyta; Magnoliopsida; Asparagales; Orchidaceae
Exons: 2
Source: RefSeq, a predicted model, not a curated record